AGAGAGAGACAUGCGCGCAUAUCAAUAAGCGGAGGAAAAGAAACUAACUAGGAUUCCCUCAGUAACGGCGAGUGAAGCGGGAAGAGCUCAAAUUUGAAAUCUUCAAGGGUUCUACCUUUACGAAUUGUAGUUUAAAGAAGUGUUUUCUGUUGAGGUUUUGGUAAAAGUUCUUUGGAAUAGGACAUCAUAGAGGGUGAGAAUCCCGUAUUUGACCAUUACUUUCCAACUUUGUGAUACACUUUCAAAGAGUCGGAUUGUUUGGGAAUGCAGUCCAAAAUGGGUGGUAAAUUUUAUCUAAAGCUAAAUACUGGCGAGAGACCGAUAGCGAACAAGUACCGUGAGGGAAAGAUGAAAAGAACUUUGAAAAGAGAGUUAAGCAGUACGUGAAAUUGUCAAAAGGGAAGCGUUUGACACCAGUGUUGUUUUCUCGAAAAUCAAUUAAAAAAGGCAGGAUUUUGUGUUGUAUUGACUUUAUCAGCUUUCUGCACUCUUUUCUUGUCUUUUUUAAUGCACUUUUCGUUUAACAAGUCAACAUCAAUUUCUUUUGUUGUAAAAGGGUCAUUGGAAGGUGGCUUUCUUUUCGGAGAAAGUGUUUAUAGCCUUUGGCCUCUGCAAUCGGAGAGAUUGAGGUCUGCAGCGUAGAUCCUUCGGGGUUAGAUACAUUUGUGCUAAGUUAUAGCCUUUUCAUAGACAACUUGUUGACUAUGAUCAGUCAUGUAGCUUACUCGCUUAUGCUAUUUUACCUACGCUUAGGAUGUUGAUGUGAUACUGCGAGCA
This 777-nucleotide ribosomal RNA is filed under the name uncultured Neocallimastigales. RNAcentral describes it as "partial large subunit ribosomal RNA". It matches the Rfam family "Eukaryotic large subunit ribosomal RNA", at positions 23 to 639 of the family's 3401-position model. Lineage: Eukaryota; Fungi; Neocallimastigomycota; Neocallimastigomycetes; Neocallimastigales. The record is from RNAcentral.